CCAUCACAACCCUGUGACUCUCAGAUCAAUUCAGUGUCUUUAAAUGAAUUCUCUGAGAGACCCUUACACAUUGCAACUGAGAUCCUUUAUAGCAAAGACACACAUAGCCAGACAGCAUUGGCGUAAUUUAUCGUUCAGCUUUGUCUCCUAAACUAUGUUCUUUUCUCAAACUCAGAACCAUAAACCAAAUCCACAUAUAACAGGCAUAUAUCAAAUCCAUCCUAUCUUGACAAGGUCACAGAGACACAUUGACUGGCACACCGACAUUGUGGAGCCAAGAGAUACACGCUUGACCUCUCCCCUCUCUCCGGCCCAAAUAACUUAGUCUUGACAGAGAACAGAUACUGCAACCCCACCACGGUAUUAUACAAAAAUAACAUUCUGAUGAGAAGUAACUUACAAACAUAUGAUGAAUGUAAAACAUCUUACCUAUGUUACCAACUAAUUCUGAUUAUUCCCCAACAAUAGCAACUAGCUGGGUUUCACUGACAGCAAUCACAACUCUACUGCUUUCUUGUCAAGGUGAACUCUACACAGUCUCUUACGGUAAGGUAAUGCAGGCUUAUCAAGGUGAACUUUACACAGUCUCUUACGGUAAGGUAAUGCAGGGUUAUCAAGGUGAAGUCUACACAGUCUCUUACGGUAAGGUAAUGCAGGGUUAUCAAGGUGAAGUCUACACAGUCUCUUACGGUAAGGUAAUGCAGGGUUAUCAAGGUGAAGUCUAC
Long non-coding RNA from Oncorhynchus tshawytscha (Chinook salmon), 725 nucleotides. Lineage: Eukaryota; Metazoa; Chordata; Actinopteri; Salmoniformes; Salmonidae. The record is from Ensembl.